RNAcentral lists this ribosomal RNA (261 nucleotides) under uncultured bacterium. Its description in RNAcentral is "partial 16S ribosomal RNA". It matches the Rfam family "Bacterial small subunit ribosomal RNA", at positions 92 to 354 of the family's 1533-position model. The record is from RNAcentral.
UGAGUGGCGGACGGGUGAGUAACGCGUGGGCAACCUGGCCUGUACAGGGGGAUAACACUUAGAAAUAGGUGCUAAUACCGCAUAACGGGGGAAGCCGCAUGGCUUUUCCCUGAAAACUCCGGUGGUACAGGAUGGGCCCGCAUCUGAUUAGCCAGUUGGCAGGGUAACGGCCUACCAAAGCGACGAUCAGUAGCCGGCCUGAGAGGGCGGACGGCCACACUGGGACUGAGACACGGCCCAGACUCCUACGGAAGGCAGCAG